AGUAAGGAUGUGGUCAGUCAGCCUCACUACUUAAGAGUGAUUUUCAAUGACUCCGUGCCCAGAAUUCCUUUAGAUUUCAUUUUGGCUAUUUAUUUAUGACAAUUUUUUUUUCUCUUUUUCAUGGGCACAUGACAGGACUACCCGCCCAGGAUCCUUUGCAGAUGGUCCCUCAGUGCCUGAAGGUUGGACGGCUCAGACAGAAACCUGACUGGUGAAACUUGAUGCUCCGGCAGCAAUUUGAGCGUAGAGGCCAAUGCUGCACUUUAAACGAGUCCAUUCUCCUCACAUCUUUUCUGUAGGCUUUUUCAGGAGCCUGAGCUGGAGCUGCAGCCUCAGUUUUGGUUUGAAUCUGGCCUUUGAUUGGCAGAACCUACAACCCUUGGCCCAGUAGCUUCAAAUGAAGUUCCCUGGCUUGGGAGACUGCAGCCAAACUCCCUAUUGCACAGAAAUACUGUCCCCGAGAGCACCCUUCCUGGAAGAGGAGGCUGACCCAUAGUGGGGACUUCACCCUCGACUUAGCUCUACCAAACUGAACAAACUUUUUGGCUUAAGUAUGAAGAGUUGAUGCAGCUCCCGGACUGUGCCUGUGGUGUUGCCAAAUUCCUGUCCCAGAGGCCGGAAGUUUUCUUGCAUGAGCCCGACUGGAAAGAAGGGCUGGUUUUAAGCUGAAAAUGAUGACCACUGUACCACACUUGGGGCACACGAGCUGAGCCUCCAUCUGUUCUGUUCUCCCUCAUCUCCCUCCCUUCUCCUCCCUUCUCUUUUUUUCCUUCCUCCCUCCCUCUCCCAUCUCUUUUACUGGCAGGUCUUCUCUGCUCUGAAGGCCAGAGAUUCCCACAUCGCCUUCCAGAGGGUCAAGAUGUACGAUUCCUCCUAAACCAGAAUUCUUUGCUGGUGAGGUUAGAAAAUGCCAGAGCCUAAGCGGGAGCUAUCCCUGGACUAGCCGAGUCUCCGAGCCUCCUCAAGGGGCCCAGCACGGGGCACUCUGGCUAGCUCUCCUCGCGGACAGGAGUGCAGUGGCACCCGUUGCGCACCCCAACUGCAAGUUUACUACUCCUGGUUCUUGCGGAAGUGUGAUUCCCACUUUGUUCCGGUGUGGCGGGCGUUCGCCCUUUCGUGCUAGCUAGGCCUUUGUGGACCUGAAAAGAUCCGAAGUCUCUCGGGACGCCUCCCACUGCACUAGUCGCGCCGCUGUCUCCUCCAGGCCCCAAGGUGUGGAGAUGCGUCCCCAGAGCCAUUGCACACUCUGGCCGGUACUCAACGCGCAGAAGCUGGAGUCUGUAGCACAAGCGGUCGCAGGCUCUGUCUGCCCCCACCCUCUUCCAGCCAAUGUGAAAAAAUGCGUGCGAACCCUUUCCCUCCACUCAGAGGACGCCGGACUGGGAAUAAAGUGCUAUUGAGGCCGG
Molecule: long non-coding RNA, 1406 nt
Filed under: Mus pahari (shrew mouse)
Lineage: Eukaryota; Metazoa; Chordata; Mammalia; Rodentia; Muridae
Description: neurogenin 1 downstream neighbor lncRNA (MGP_PahariEiJ_G0004792.1)
Source: RNAcentral